Molecule: ribosomal RNA, 264 nt
Filed under: uncultured bacterium
Lineage: Bacteria
Description: partial 16S ribosomal RNA
Rfam family: Bacterial small subunit ribosomal RNA
Source: RNAcentral
UACGUAGGGUCCGAGCGUUGUCCGGAAUUAUUGGGCGUAAAGGGCUCGUAGGCGGUUCGUCACGUCGGGAGUGAAAACUCGGGGCUUAACCCCGAGCCUGCUUCCGAUACGGGGCAGACUAGAGGUAGGCAGGGGGAGAACGGAAAUUCCUGGUGGUAGCGGUAGCGAAAUGCGCAGGAUAAUCAGGAGGAACACCGGUGGCGAAGGCGGUUCUCUGGGCAUUGACCUGACCGCUGAGGAGCGAAAGUGUGGGGAGCGAACAGG